CAGAGUACCUGCCCAUUGGGUAGAUCUCCCACCCUUUGUUUACAAUACCUUUGUUGCUUUGGCAGGCCCGUCUUUUUGACCACUGGCUUCGGCUGGUCAGCGCCUGCCAGAGGACCCCAAACUCUUGAUUUUUGGCAUUGUCUGAACUACAUAAAUAGUUA
RNAcentral lists this unclassified non-coding RNA (161 nucleotides) under uncultured Helotiales. RNAcentral describes it as "sequence contains ITS1". The record is from RNAcentral. Lineage: Eukaryota; Fungi; Ascomycota; Leotiomycetes; Helotiales.